Mycena leptocephala is the source of this 95-nucleotide non-coding RNA. The record is from the annotation of a GenBank genome assembly. NCBI's taxonomy places the organism in Eukaryota, Fungi, Basidiomycota, Agaricomycetes, Agaricales, Mycenaceae.
AGCAGUAUGGUGUAAUGAUGCACACGGGAUUUUCUUGUGUUUGUCUUUGUGAUUUGAUCAACCCCGAGGUCCUUGUUCGAAUCAAGGUACUGCUC